Molecule: ribosomal RNA, 492 nt
Filed under: uncultured bacterium
Lineage: Bacteria
Description: partial 16S ribosomal RNA
Rfam family: Bacterial small subunit ribosomal RNA
Source: RNAcentral
AGUGAACGCUGGCGGUAGGCCUAACACAUGCAAGUCGAACGGCAGCACAGUAAGAGCUUGCUCUUACGGGUGGCGAGUGGCGGACGGGUGAGGAAUACAUCGGAAUCUACUUUUUUGUGGGGGAUAACGUAGGGAAACUGACGCUAAUACCGCAUACGAACUACGGGUGAAAGCAGGGGAUCUUCGGACGUGGCGCGAGCGAACGAGACGACGUCGAAUUAGCUAGUUGGCGGGGUAAAGGCCCACCAAGGCGACGAUCCGUAGCGGGUCUGAGAGGAUGAUCGGCCACACUGGAACUGAGACACGGCCCAGACUCCUACGGGAGGCAGCAGUGGGGAAUCUUGGGCAAUGGGCGCAAGCCUGACCCAGCCAUGCCGCGUGAGUGAAGAAGGCCUUCGGAUUGUAAAGCCCUUUUGUUGGGGAAGAAAAGCGGCAGGUUAAUCCCCCGCUGUUGUGACGGUACCCAACGAAUAAGCACCGGCUAACUUCGUG